CUAUAAUAAAAUUCACCCUGUGGUACCCAACCUUUUUUAUAUACGGGCCCCAAACACGUUUUUGUCUUG
Molecule: long non-coding RNA, 69 nt
Organism: Aricia agestis (brown argus)
Lineage: Eukaryota; Metazoa; Arthropoda; Insecta; Lepidoptera; Lycaenidae
Exons: 3
Source: RefSeq, a predicted model, not a curated record